RNAcentral lists this ribosomal RNA (466 nucleotides) under uncultured bacterium. RNAcentral's name for it is "partial 16S ribosomal RNA". It matches the Rfam family "Bacterial small subunit ribosomal RNA", at positions 28 to 507 of the family's 1533-position model. The record is from RNAcentral.
GAUGAACGCUGGCGGCGUGCUUAACACAUGCAAGUCGAACGAUGAAGCCCAGCUUGCUGGGUGGAUUAGUGGCGAACGGGUGAGUAACACGUGAGUAACCUGCCCUUAACUCUGGGAUAAGCCUGGGAAACUGGGUCUAAUACCGGAUAGGAGCGCCUACCGCAUGGUGGGUGUUGGAAAGAUUUAUCGGUUUUGGAUGGACUCGCGGCCUAUCAGCUUGUUGGUGAGGUAAUGGCUCACCAAGGCGACGACGGGUAGCCGGCCUGAGAGGGUGACCGGCCACACUGGGACUGAGACACGGCCCAGACUCCUACGGGAGGCAGCAGUGGGGAAUAUUGCACAAUGGGCGAAGGCCUGAUGCAGCGACGCCGCGUGAGGGAUGACGGCCUUCGGGUUGUAAACCUCUUUCAGUAGGGAAGAAGCGAAAGUGACGGUACCUGCAGAAGAAGCACCGGCUAACUACGUG